AACGAACGCUGGCGGCAGGCUUAACACAUGCAAGUCGAACGCAUCUCUUCGGAGGUGAGUGGCAGACGGGUGAGUAACGCGUGGGAACGUGCCCUUUGGUUCGGGAUAACCCAGGGAAACUUGGGCUAAUACCGGAUAAGCCGGAAACGGGAAAGGUUUACUGCCGAAGGAUCGGCCCGCGUCGGAUUAGCUAGUUGGUGGGGUAACGGCCUACCAAGGCGACGAUCCGUAGCUGGUCUGAGAGGAUGAUCAGCCACACUGGGACUGAGACACGGCCCAGACUCCUACGGGAGGCAGCAGUGGGGAAUAUUGGACAAUGGGCGCAAGCCUGAUCCAGCCAUGCCGCGUGAGUGAAGAAGGCCCUAGGGUUGUAAAGCUCUUUCAGCGGGGACGAUAAUGACGGUACCCGCAGAAGAAGCCCGGCUAACUUCGUGCCAGCAGCCGCGGUAAUACGAAGGGGGCUAGCGUUGUUCGGAAUUACUGGGCGUAAAGCGCGCGUAGGCGGACGCUUAAGUCAGGGGUG
Molecule: ribosomal RNA, 523 nt
Filed under: uncultured bacterium
Lineage: Bacteria
Description: bacterial SSU rRNA
Rfam family: Bacterial small subunit ribosomal RNA
Source: RNAcentral